CCAGACUCCUACGGGAGGCAGCAGUGGGGGAUAUUGCACAAUGGGGGGAACCCUGAUGCAGCGACGCCGCGUGGGUGAAGGAGUGCUUCGGCAUGUAAAGCCCUAUCGGCAGGGAAGAAGCAAGACGGUACCUGACUAAGAAGCCCCGGCUAACUACGUGCCAGCAGCCGCGGUAAUACGUAGGGGGCAAGCGUUAUCCGGAUUUACUGGGUGUAAAGGGAGCGUAGACGGCAGUGCAAGUCCGGAGUGAAAGCCCGGGGCUCAACCCUGGGACUGCUCUGGAAACUGUAAAGCUGGAGUGCGGGAGGGGCAGGCGGAAUUCCUGGUGUAGCGGUGAAAUGCGUAGAUAUCAGGAGGAACACCGGCGGCGAAGGCGGCCUGCUGGACCGUAACUGACGUUGAGGCUCGAAAGCGUGGGGAGCAAACAGGAUUAGAUACCCUAGUA
Molecule: ribosomal RNA, 445 nt
Filed under: uncultured bacterium
Lineage: Bacteria
Description: bacterial SSU rRNA
Rfam family: Bacterial small subunit ribosomal RNA
Source: RNAcentral